AAGUCGUAACAAGGUUUCAGUGGGUGAACCUGCGGAAGGAUCAUUAACACGUAUCCAACGUAAAAACAACCCCGUGAACCUUCAGACGUGCUCUCUUUAGCAAUCCUGGUAAAUCAUUGUCAAACAGAUUUUGAGUCAGGGACUUCUUGGAUAUGGAGCAUCACGCGGGCACCCUAGCAAUCUGACAGUGGUUGCGCAGGGUGGCGCAAUAAACGAUCGCUGGAGGCCCACGGCCGGCGGACGGGCUAACGACCCCAAUGUCUUGAAGCGGUGCGCUGUAACAACCGCACCACCAACCGAACAACUGUUAACAAUGGAUAUCUUGGUUCUC
This 331-nucleotide unclassified non-coding RNA is filed under the name fungal sp. RNAcentral's name for it is "partial internal transcribed spacer region". The stretch from base 1 to 46 matches the Rfam family "Eukaryotic small subunit ribosomal RNA", at positions 1786 to 1831 of the family's 1831-position model. The record is from RNAcentral. Lineage: Eukaryota; Fungi.